RNAcentral lists this unclassified non-coding RNA (1455 nucleotides) under Hevea brasiliensis (rubber tree). The record is from RNAcentral. Lineage: Eukaryota; Viridiplantae; Streptophyta; Magnoliopsida; Malpighiales; Euphorbiaceae.
AGAAAAAAAAAAAAAAAAACAUAUGAAGUAAAGGUGUGAAAAGAUGAAAUAUAAUUUAUUAAAGAGAGAGAGCCAGAGAGGGAGAGUUUCAUAUGUCUUGCCAUUAAUUGGUGUAGAAUCUGACUAAUGCUAUUCAACCCAAAUGCAAAUUCCACCCAAACUCCAUUUAGGCACAUUGAUGGUGACAACGAAUGGCUGAAUAAUCAGCAAAUUGAUUAUUUAGAUACUCCAAUAGAAGCCUAGCAACUUUUCAUUUAAAUUAUGAAAUAAUUAAAGUCAAUUUCAUUGGUAAAGAGCUGGUGGACAAAGUCCAGCAAAUAAAAAAAUAAAAUGAAAUAUUUAAUUAGGAAACAUAACGUGAAUCUUCCAAGAAAUGAUCAUUGAUCAAUCACUGACACUUCUAGAAGACAAAUCCUGAUGAUCAGAUAUUCAAGAAAAUGGGUCCUUGUUGAACCAUGUAAUUCUUGACUUUCAUUUUACACCAAAAUUCCUGAGUCAGAUGCAAUCAGAAACAAUUUGAAGAGUCAACAAUGUAUUUCAAAACUCCACAUCUACAGCCAGCAUAUUGCUCUCAAGUAAUGAAAUAAUAAACAGCUGUUUUAGGAUAUAAUUCUAAGAAUGAGAUCUACCCAUAUAAAUCCACAAAACAGAUUAAAUCAACAAUUAUAAGGACAGCAGGACAGUAAACCCUGGUUAGAAAUAAGAAAGGGCAAUCAUAAAAGGAAACUUUGUGUGGAUUCAUCUCCCUUUCAAUUUCCUACCAAUUCAACUAUUACUGUUCUAACGCAACUACAAGGUCUAACCAUAAUUGUGCAUCAUCAAUUCUAAAGGCCAUCAUCAACUAACAAAAUAAAAUUAUCUCCUUGAAAGCAUAAAUGCUGUUUGAUUUAACAAAUGAAGGAAGAAAUCCUAGAAGCUAGAAGGCCACAAAUAAAUGAGACCACGAUGUUUACAAUCAAGCAACAGUACUAAUUUACAACAUAGACGGUAAAGAGAGGAAGAAUAAUUUUUUGGCUAUCAUGCACAAAUGGGGAUCUUUUGAAUUGUUUUAUCAACAAGGAAACAAGUAUAAUUGGCUUCUGAUUUUCGAAGCAAACGAUCUUUAACCAGAAAGUUAAGAGCAUAGAUGGCAGAACCUCUCUACUUCCGCCUAGGAAAAGGGGAAAGAAGAUAAAGCUUUCGACUUUGAGCAAGUGGAAAAUAUCUAAAAAACUCCAUAAUUAUUCAUCAAAGCAAUAUACAGGACAACCGCUAAAUAAAGCAUCUCUUUACUUAUUAAUCUUCUCAAACAAGACUUAUAAUAGCUCAAUUUAAGAUAAUCAAGCUGCAUCUAACUCUUGAGAUUGUUUUCACAUGAGCAGAAAGGGGGAAGUUCACAAUAUGACAAAAGCGUUUAACCAGAGGCUCAUAUUGAACAAAAAUCAAGUGAAAUUCUCAUUAGGACCUAAUUAUAAC